UACCUGCAGCUCGAGUGGUAACCGCUAUCAUUGGGCCUAAAGCGUCCGUAGCCGGUUUGGUAAAUAUCUGGGUAAAUCGUGAGGCUUAACUUCACGAAUUUCGGAUAGACUACCAGACUUGGGAUCGGGGGAGGUCAGAGGUACUCCAGGGGUAGCGGUGAAAUGUUGUAAUCCUUGGAGGACCACCGGUAGCGAAGGCGUCUGACUAGAACGAGUCCGACGGUGAGGGACGAAGCCCUGGGGCGCAAACCGGAUUAGAUACCCGGGUAGUCCAGGGUGUAGACAAUGUGGGCUUUGUAUUGGAGGUCCCACGUGGGCGUCCAGUGCAGAAGAGAAGUUGUUAAGCCCACCGCCUGGGAAGUACGGUCGCAAGGCUGAAACUUAAAGGAAUUGGCGGGGGAGCACAGCAACGGGAGGAGCGUGCGGUUU
RNAcentral lists this ribosomal RNA (429 nucleotides) under uncultured archaeon. Its description in RNAcentral is "bacterial SSU rRNA". It matches the Rfam family "Archaeal small subunit ribosomal RNA", at positions 474 to 903 of the family's 1478-position model. The record is from RNAcentral.